RNAcentral lists this ribosomal RNA (486 nucleotides) under Vipera berus (adder). Its description in RNAcentral is "partial 16S ribosomal RNA". It matches the Rfam family "Bacterial large subunit ribosomal RNA", at positions 1840 to 2595 of the family's 2925-position model. The record is from RNAcentral. Lineage: Eukaryota; Metazoa; Chordata; Lepidosauria; Squamata; Viperidae.
CAAAUAUUAAAGGCAACGCCUGCCCAGUGAAUAGUUAAACGGCCGCGGUAUCCUAACCGUGCAAAGGUAGCAUAAUCAUUUGUCCAUUAAUUGUGGACUCGUAUGAAAGGCAAAAUGAGAGCCCGACUGUCUCUUAUAACUAAUCAAUUAAACUGAUCCCCCAGUACAAAAGCUGAGAUACCACCAUAAGACCAGAAGACCCUGUGAAGCUUUAACUAACCUAUUAAACCCAAUAAUAAUUAAUUUCGGUUGGGGCGACCUUGGAACAAAAAAGAACUUCCAAUAUAUGACUUCAUCAUACAAAAGGCAAACAAGCCACAUUAGACCCAGUAUAUCUGAUUAAUGAACCAAGUUACUCCAGGGAUAACAGCGCUAUCUUCUUCAAGAGCCCAUAUCAAAAAGAAGGUUUACGACCUCGAUGUUGGAUCAGGACAUCCUAGUAAUGCAACCGUUACUGAGGGUUCGUUUGUUCAACGAUUAACAGCC